UACGAAGGGGGCUAGCGUUGUUCGGAAUUACUGGGCGUAAAGCGCACGUAGGCGGGUUGUUAAGUCAGGGGUGAAAUCCUGGAGCUCAACUCCAGAACUGCCUUUGAUACUGAAGAUCUUGAGUUCGGGAGAGGUGAGUGGAACUGCGAGUGUAGAGGUGAAAUUCGUAGAUAUUCGCAAGAACACCAGUGGCGAAGGCGGCUCACUGGCCCGAUACUGACGCUGAGGCACGAAAGCGUGGGGAGCAAACAGG
RNAcentral lists this ribosomal RNA (253 nucleotides) under uncultured bacterium. Its description in RNAcentral is "partial 16S ribosomal RNA". It matches the Rfam family "Bacterial small subunit ribosomal RNA", at positions 524 to 776 of the family's 1533-position model. The record is from RNAcentral.